This 113-nucleotide small nuclear RNA is filed under the name Zootermopsis nevadensis. RNAcentral describes it as "U5 spliceosomal RNA". It matches the Rfam family "U5 spliceosomal RNA". Rfam says of the family: U5 RNA is a component of both types of known spliceosome. The precise function of this molecule is unknown, though it is known that the 5' loop is required for splice site selection and p220 binding, and that both the 3' stem-loop and the Sm site are important for Sm protein binding and cap methylation. Lineage: Eukaryota; Metazoa; Arthropoda; Insecta; Blattodea; Termopsidae. The record is from Rfam by way of RNAcentral.
AACCUCUGGUUUCCCUUCAAUACGCAUAAAUCUUUUGCCUUUUACUGAAGAUUUCUGUUGAGGGGAACAUAUGGUUCAUACAGUUUUAUUCCUACAUUUGGAUUAUUGAUUGA